CCUACGGGUGGCAGCAGUAGGGAAUCUUCCACAAUGGGCGAAAGCCUGAUGGAGCAACGCCGCGUGGGUGAAGAAGGUCUUCGGAUCGUAAAACCCUGUUGUUAGAGAAGAAAGUGCGUGAGAGUAACUGUUCACGUUUCGACGGUAUCUAACCAGAAAGCCACGGCUAACUACGUGCCCGCAGCCGCGGUAAUACGUAGGUGGCAAGCGUUAUCCGGAUUUAUUUGGCGUAAAGGGAACGCGGGCGGUCUUUUAAGUCUGAUGUGAAAGCCUUCGGCUUAACCGGUGUAGUGCUUUGGAUACUGGGAGACUUGAGUGCAGAAGAGGAGAGUGGAACACGAUGAGUAGCGGUGAAAUGCGUAGAUAUAUGGAAGAACACCAGUGGCGAAAGCGGCUCUCUGGUCUGUAACUGACGCUGAGGUUCGAAAGCGUGGGUAGCAAACAGGAUUAGAUACCCGUGUAGUC
Molecule: ribosomal RNA, 465 nt
Filed under: uncultured bacterium
Lineage: Bacteria
Description: partial 16S ribosomal RNA
Rfam family: Bacterial small subunit ribosomal RNA
Source: RNAcentral